RNAcentral lists this long non-coding RNA (684 nucleotides) under Homo sapiens (human). RNAcentral's name for it is "HSALNT0183569". Lineage: Eukaryota; Metazoa; Chordata; Mammalia; Primates; Hominidae. The record is from RNAcentral.
CUUGUAAAGUCCUUCUUAGAGAGACAGAUCCUUUCUAAGGGGAAGAUAUAAUACACGACAGGUAGAACUUGUGUGCAGAGCGCGGUCCAUGCCCAGUGUAUUGAGAAGGUGGGCAGAAAAUCUCCUGGAAAAGCAUGCAUGGGAACCAGCACGAGGUUGCCUUCUAAUUCACGUGUCUCAUCAUUUCACUGAAGAUGUAUGGAACGCUUCCCCCUUUCAAAGUGUUAAGUACUUUGCUGUCAGCAUCACCAUCACAGCCUGCGAACUCGACACUAAAGAGAGAGAAGUGGAAAAGGCAAAUUUUGGAGAAAAUAAGCAGAAGGCAUGGGGACUGGAAGUUGUGAGGUACGAUGAGGCUUUUGCUGAUACAGGAAUGAUGUCCUCACCCACUGGGCCAUAGGAGUGGCCUCCCAGGAUCAAAGAACAUGGGGAGCCAGCACUGCCAGGACGAAGAAAGAGCUUCAUUACUAUGAACUUGCUUGUGGCUGGAGGAAUUGAAGUGGAGACGCUGACUCCCGUGAGCUUGGAGACUGCAGGGAUGACAACCUUAUGUUACAUUGAUGUGUUCUCAUUUUUGUUGAGUAUGACUAUACUUCUGUACAUUUUAUUUCACUCUUUAAACAUUUAUGUUCCUGUGUUAUGAUUAAUUAAGUGUAGUAAAAUGAAGUGUUUGCAAAGUUAAAA